This is a long non-coding RNA of Oncorhynchus masou masou (cherry salmon), 709 nucleotides long. RefSeq lists it as uncharacterized. The record is from RefSeq and is a predicted model, not a curated record. The transcript is spliced from 3 exons. NCBI's taxonomy places the organism in Eukaryota, Metazoa, Chordata, Actinopteri, Salmoniformes, Salmonidae.
GCGGAGAUAUUGGAUGUCAGACUUCCAAGGAGGAAAUAGCUUUUGCUGAAACUCAUUCAUAUGCUUGCAGUCAUGCCCGAAUAGCCCAACCUGGGAGCAACUUCCAAAGGGGCUGAGAAGCGAACCAUCACUGAGCCAGCUACAGGACAACAUCAUCCGUAUCCUCGCUGCUAAAAUAAGAGAGCGCAGAUGACGACAAGGACUUGGUGAAAAAACACUGUCAGCAUCAUUAACCUGAAGAAAGCGAUUGAUUUGAAUUCUGAGGAAGUAAAAAAAUCUGAAGCAGCAGAACGCAACAUUGAAAACUCAGGUUGCAAAGCAAGAGAAGAAACUCACUGAAAUGGAGUAAAUGGUAAACGAGACUGACCGGUCGGGUCGGAGAUGGAAUCUUCGAAUUUACGGAAUCGCAGAAAGAGCUGAGGAGAACAUCAAAGCAAAAGUGAAGGACAUUUGCAGGACAAUAGUCAGAUUAAACAUGAACGGGCCAAAACGGACAUGGCAGCAGGUCAAAAUCAAAUACAAGAACAUUCUGCAGAAUGCAGUGAAAAAGAAUACCCACAGACAAGGCACGGGUGGUGGGUCACCAAAGGCUGACCUUACCCCAGCAGAGGACAUGGCCUUGGAGCUAAAUAAAGGCAGGCCCGUCUUAGAGGGGAUCCCUGGGGGAAAGAGACGAGCAUAGGUUCCUCCCAAGAUGCCACCCGCUUCA